This 395-nucleotide ribosomal RNA is filed under the name uncultured bacterium. Its description in RNAcentral is "partial 16S ribosomal RNA". It matches the Rfam family "Bacterial small subunit ribosomal RNA", at positions 523 to 918 of the family's 1533-position model. The record is from RNAcentral.
AUACGUAGGGUGCAAGCGUUAAUCGGAAUUACUGGGCGUAAAGCGUGCGCAGGCGGUUUUGUAAGACAGUGGUGAAAUCCCCGGGCUCAACCUGGGAACUGCCAUUGUGACUGCAAGGCUGGAGUGCGGCAGAGGGGGAUGGAAUUCCGCGUGUAGCAGUGAAAUGCGGAGAUAUGCGGAGGAACACCGAUGGCGAAGGCAAUCCCCUGGGCCUGUACUGACGCUCAUGCACGAAAGCGUGGGGAGCAAACAGGAUUAGAUACCCUGGUAGUCCACGCCCUAAACGAUGUCAACUGGUUGUUGGGGAUUUAUUUUCUCAGUAACGAAGCUAACGCGUGAAGUUGACCGCCUGGGGAGUACGGCCGCAAGGUUAAAACUCAAAUGAAUUGACGGGG